GCACGACAAGGUUAGUCCGAGUGAUUUNUGCUAAAGAGAUCUUUUGCAAGUUCUAAAACCACUAGUGAAUAAGGGGUGGGCAAGUUCUGGUGUCAGCCGCCGCGGUAAAACCAGCACCUCGAGUGGUCAGGAGGAUUAUUGGGCCUAAAGCAUCCGUAGCCGGCUCUGUAAGUUUUCGGUUAAAUCCAUGCGCUCAACGCAUGGGCUGCCGAAAAUACUGCAGAGCUAGGGAGUGGGAGAGGUAGACGGUACUCGGUAGGAAGGGGUAAAAUCCUUUGAUCUAUCGAUGACCACCUGUGGCGAAGGCGGUCUACCAGAACACGUUCGACGGUGAGGGAUGAAAGCUGGGGGAGCAAACCGGAUUAGAUACCCGGGUAGUCCCAGCUGUAAACGAUGCAGACUCGAUGAUGCAUUGGCAUAUAGCCAGUGCAGUGUCGCAGGGAAGCCGUUAAGUCUGCCGCCUGGGAAGUACGUACGCAAGUAUGAAACUUAAAGGAAUUGGCGGGGGAGCACCACAAGGGGUGAAGCCUGCGGUUCAAUUGGAGUCAACGCCAGAAAUCUUACCCGGAGAGACAGCAGAAUGAAGGUCAAGCUGAAGACUUUACCAGACAAGCUGAGAGGUGGUGCAUGGCCGUCGCCAGCUCGUGCCGUGAGAUGUCCUGUUAAGUCAGGUAACGAGCGAGAUCCCUGCCAUUAGUUGCUAUCAUUAUUCUCAGGAAUAGUGGGGCGAACUAGUGGGACUGCCGUUGUUAAAACGGAGGAAGGAAGGGGCUACGGCAGGUCAGUAUGCCCCGAAACUCUGGGGCCACACGCGGGCUGCAAUGGUAGUGACAAUGAGUUCCAAACUCGAAAGAGAGUGGCAAUCUCCAAACACUACCACAGUUAUGACUGAGGGCUGUAACUCGCCCUCACGAAUAUGGAAUCCCUAGUAACCGCGCGUCAUUACCACGCGGUGAAUACGUCCCUGCUCCUUGCACACACCGCCCGUCGUUUCAUCGAAGUUUGCUUUUAGCGAGGUGAUGUUUAAUUGGCAUUAUCGAACUU
This 1044-nucleotide ribosomal RNA is filed under the name uncultured marine group I thaumarchaeote. RNAcentral describes it as "bacterial SSU rRNA". It matches the Rfam family "Archaeal small subunit ribosomal RNA", at positions 365 to 1410 of the family's 1478-position model. Lineage: Archaea; Thermoproteati; Nitrososphaerota. The record is from RNAcentral.